RNAcentral lists this ribosomal RNA (447 nucleotides) under uncultured bacterium. Its description in RNAcentral is "bacterial SSU rRNA". It matches the Rfam family "Bacterial small subunit ribosomal RNA", at positions 328 to 793 of the family's 1533-position model. The record is from RNAcentral.
GCCCCAGACUCCUACGGGAGGCAGCAGUGGGGAAUAUUGCACAAUGGGGGAAACCCUGAUGCAGCGACGCCGCGUGAGUGAGGAAGUAUUUCGGUAUGUAAAGCUCUAUCAGCAGGGAAGAAAAUGACGGUACCUGACCAAGAAGCCCCGGCUAACUACGUGCCAGCAGCCGCGGUAAUACGUAGGGGGCAAGCGUUAUCCGGAUUUACUGGGUGUAAAGGGAGCGUAGGCGGCUGUGUAAGCCAGAAGUGAAAGCCCGAGGCUCAACCCCGGCGAGCCGUUGAAACUGGCGGGCUGGAGUUGGAGAGAAGUACGCGGAAUGCGCGGUGUAGCGGUGAAAUGCAUAGAUAUCACGCAGAACUCCGAUUGCGAAGGCAGCGCACCGGCGCCCUACUGACGCUCAGGCACGAAAGCGUGGGUAUCGAACAGGAUUAGAUACCCGUGUAC